GGCUGUUUAUCAGGUCUGCUGCUGGUACCUCCUUGAAGAAAAAGUGCAUUUAUUACAAAAACCAACCAGCUGAAGAUGUUAUUGAGGUCGUGGAUGUGAAGGCAAGAGGAAGCACUGCCCUGGGAAUGUCUGCCUCUGGAAUCCCAGCCAGCAGGAAAACUUGGCAGAGCUUCGCUGUGCCUCAGCCCUCCCCUGGUUCAGCAGGGCUGAUUGAUCAGCCCAAGGCUGCUGAAAUUGGGGCAACGCAAACCCCCAAGACAUUGUUUUCCAGACCAUGAACUGAUGCUUUUGGCUGCUGCAGAAGCUCCUCCAUCUCGUCUGAAGCUGCUGAAAAGUGCCUUGAUGUUCUCCCCUGCAAAGGGAAUUAAUCUCUGGGAGGGAACGAAGAGCACAGCACAAAGAGCAGGCAUGGUCCAGACCUCACAGGACUAAUUAUGCUCUUAAAGGAACUGAGUUGUUAAUUUUGGAUGGUCACAGGAGCUGCUCUGGAAAUGCCUGCAAGAGGCAGCAAAGAGAAGCUGGGACGAAGGAAAGUGGUUCAACCUACUGGCUAGUCUGGGAAUGAGGAUCUGCUCGCUGCUGCUGCCAUCUCCCCCCUCCGUGGUUGCUCUGACCUCGAUGAAAUAAUCGUCCUGGAGCCGCAGCCACAGCUCGGCCGUGGUGGUGUCCGUGGUCAGCACCUCCACCCUGCUCUGCCUGCUGGUCCUGUACAGAACCUGCAACACAGCACACCCUCAGCACCUCCCUGUCCCUCACAAACAGCUUUUGGGAGGGAUGGGAUGGAAGAAAAGAGCUGAUUUUUGGUUAAUAUUCCAGGGUGGAAUUACAGUUAAAGGAAGAAGGGAACAUCAAUCAAAGCCUUUUAUUCCAGAUUUAAUUUAAAAUGGCACAACGGAUGAUGAUACAUAUUAUAUAUUAUUUUUAUUAUAAUAAUAGGAAAUAAUGGGAGGUGGGACACUGGAACAAGCUGUGAAAACGUACUUCUUUCCAAUACAACUCAGUGGGUAAUCAGAUCUUCAGCCUAAAUCUUUUAUUCAGGAAUAUAUUAUGUUGGAUCCAGCUGUACAGAGCUUAUCAGGAGCAUCCUCAACUAUGCUUUAUACACACACUUAUAUGACACAUUUAAACACUUCUACAUUUGUGUGCUGAUCAGAUUUAGAGCAGAUGCAACAGUGUAAUUUCUGUCAGGGAAAUGAGCAUGGCCCACAGCGAGUAAGAGGAGAAAAGGUUUAAAAAUAUCAGUUUAAUAUAUGUGAUAAUAUAUAAUAAAUAUAAUAAAUAUACCUGGCCAACAAUGGA
Parus major (Great Tit) is the source of this 1299-nucleotide long non-coding RNA. RefSeq lists it as uncharacterized. Lineage: Eukaryota; Metazoa; Chordata; Aves; Passeriformes; Paridae. The record is from RefSeq and is a predicted model, not a curated record. The transcript is spliced from 5 exons.